GACGACGCUGGCGGCGUGCCUAACACAUGCAAGUCGAGCGAGGUGUAUACACCUAGCGGCGGACGGGUGGAGUAACACGUGGGUGACCUGCCUCAAAGUAGGGGAAUAGCCUCUCGAAAGGGAGAUUAAUACCGCAUAAUAUACGCAUAUUUAACUACUGCGUAUCAAAGGAGUAAUCCGCUAUGAGAUGGGCCCGCGGCGCAUUAGCUAGUUGGUGAGGUAACGGCUCACCAAGGCGACGAUGCGUAGCCGACCUGAGAGGGUGAUCGGCCACAUUGGGACUGAGACACGGCCCAGACUCCUACGGGAGGCAGCAGUGGGGAAUAUUGCACAAUGGGGGAAACCCUGAUGCAGCAACGCCGCGUGAGUGAUGACGGCCUUCGGGUUGUAAAGCUCUGUCUUCAGGGACGAUAAUGACGGUACCUGAGGAGGAAGCCACGGCUAACUACGUG
Molecule: ribosomal RNA, 452 nt
Filed under: uncultured bacterium
Lineage: Bacteria
Description: bacterial SSU rRNA
Rfam family: Bacterial small subunit ribosomal RNA
Source: RNAcentral